Long non-coding RNA from Carassius carassius (crucian carp), 709 nucleotides. RefSeq lists it as uncharacterized. The transcript is spliced from 3 exons. Lineage: Eukaryota; Metazoa; Chordata; Actinopteri; Cypriniformes; Cyprinidae. The record is from RefSeq and is a predicted model, not a curated record.
UAGUCAGGUUAGAGAAAGUUUUGCCAAACUAAUAAAAUACCUUACUAAACUAAGCAAUAACAGAAAAUACUGCCAGAUUCGGAGACCCUUUGAAAUGUGCCGCGGUGUCACAGUGCUUCAUUCAUCUCCCAAGUUCUCAAUUAAAACCCACUGCUCAUAAGCUGAGAGGAAUGAAGAGGAAUGCUCACUGUGGAACAUCUGCAAACAUCACAUCGGAGAGGCACGAAACCCCCACCUCAAAAUGCACUGCACUGUGCUUGAACCUGCCCUGGAUGCCAGCAGCAGACAAUUAUAAACCUUGUGAGGGCUCACUGUACAGAGAGGGGGGACGGACGAAGUCGUGCACUGAACUCCUGACCCUCUUCACACACCAAGCGUCUGUUGUGGACUCCGGGAGGUGCAAGAUGGGUCACAGCAAGCUGUGAAGGGGAGACCAGAGGUGGGGGAGAUUGGGGCAUAGAGAGGGAGUGGAUGGAGUGGAACAGUAGCUACUGUGUAGAGAGAUUACCCUGCUACUGUGCCGCCAACAAAGCCACAGCAGAGAUGGAGUGAUUAUAUGUCAUAUCAUUGGUAAAGAAGUUGGUGAUCAGAUUGUUUUUGUUUUGUAAUAGUUAUUUGCAGUACAUCAGGUUCCACGUAUUAAAAGAAAUCCUUCUAACCCAAAAGGGGGUAUUACUGAUGUAUUUUGUGUUGUAGAAUAAAACAUGAA